CUUCACACCUGUUCCCCAUCAUGCUCAUCAGGACACUGCACUUAAGCUCUGUGGAGAGAGGAGUCGAGUGCCAGAGUAAUCCCACUUCUACUGUGUGCCUCCUCGAGCUUCCUGCACCUCCGCCUAAUCUCUGCCACACUGGCACGCUCUCCCUCCGGACCCUCACCUGCCUUCACCCCAAGCCUCGCGCUUCACUCCUGCAUCUCUUGGAUCUCACACUCACCUUGAAUUCUGGAUCAGUCAUCCCCCACCUCACCUUUUUGAAGAAUAAAAUCACUGCUUCCUCAGCA
Molecule: long non-coding RNA, 290 nt
Organism: Notolabrus celidotus (New Zealand spotty)
Lineage: Eukaryota; Metazoa; Chordata; Actinopteri; Labriformes; Labridae
Exons: 2
Source: RefSeq, a predicted model, not a curated record